CGCCUAUCAAGAGCGCCCGAGAGCCCUGGCUCGAUGACGGCGCAGCAACCACCGACCUUCCUCGGGUCGGAACGGUGCUCCUGCCAGGUGCGAUAGGAG
Molecule: non-coding RNA, 99 nt
Filed under: Chloroflexota bacterium
Lineage: Bacteria; Bacillati; Chloroflexota
Description: Chloroflexi bacterium SAM-I sequence
Rfam family: SAM riboswitch aptamer (S box leader)
About the family: The SAM riboswitch is found upstream of a number of genes which code for proteins involved in methionine or cysteine biosynthesis in Gram-positive bacteria. The SAM riboswitch acts at the level of transcription termination control. The predicted structure consists of a complex stem-loop region followed by a single stem loop terminator region.
Source: RNAcentral